AUUAUGGAGAGUUUGAUCCUGGCUCAGGACGAACGCUGGCGGCGUGCCUAAUACAUGCAAGUCGAGCGAAUGA
This 73-nucleotide ribosomal RNA is filed under the name Psychrobacillus lasiicapitis. Its description in RNAcentral is "partial 16S ribosomal RNA". It matches the Rfam family "Bacterial small subunit ribosomal RNA", at positions 1 to 73 of the family's 1533-position model. Lineage: Bacteria; Bacillati; Bacillota; Bacilli; Caryophanales; Bacillaceae. The record is from RNAcentral.